RNAcentral lists this ribosomal RNA (322 nucleotides) under uncultured eukaryote. RNAcentral describes it as "partial 18S ribosomal RNA". It matches the Rfam family "Eukaryotic small subunit ribosomal RNA", at positions 1470 to 1796 of the family's 1831-position model. The record is from RNAcentral.
CCCUUAGAUGUACUGGGCCGCACGCGUGCUACACUGAGUGGAUCAGCGGGUCAGGUUGCGCGAAAGUGUUUCCUAAUCUUUAAAUCCGCUCGUGAUGGGGAUUGACGGUUGCAAUUUUCCGUCAUGAACGAGGAAUACCUUGUAAGCGCGGGUCAUCAUCCCGCGCUGAAUACGUCCCUGCCCUUUGUACACACCGCCCGUCGCUCCUACCGAUUGAGUGGUCCGGUGAGGCUUUGGGAUCUGAGCGGAAAGAGCGUUUCGCUGUUUCUGCCCGGAAAACUCAGUCGAACCUUAUCAUUUAGAGGAAGGAGAAGUCGUAACA